Molecule: ribosomal RNA, 685 nt
Filed under: uncultured Vibrionaceae bacterium
Lineage: Bacteria; Pseudomonadati; Pseudomonadota; Gammaproteobacteria; Vibrionales; Vibrionaceae
Description: bacterial SSU rRNA
Rfam family: Bacterial small subunit ribosomal RNA
Source: RNAcentral
UAGAGUUUGAUCCUGGCUCAGAUUGAACGCUGGCGGCAGGCCUAACACAUGCAAGUCGAGCGGAAACGGCACUAACAAUCCUUCGGGUGCGUUAAUGGGCGUCGAGCGGCGGACGGGUGAGUAAUGCCUAGGAAAUUGCCUUGAUGUGGGGGAUAACCAUUGGAAACGAUGGCUAAUACCGCAUAAUGCCUAAGGGCCAAAGAGGGGGACCUUCGGGCCUCUCGCGUCAAGAUAUGCCUAGGUGGGAUUAGCUAGUUGGUGAGGUAAUGGCUCACCAAGGCGACGAUCCCUAGCUGGUCUGAGAGGAUGAUCAGCCACACUGGAACUGAGACACGGUCCAGACUCCUACGGGAGGCAGCAGUGGGGAAUAUUGCACAAUGGGCGAAAGCCUGAUGCAGCCAUGCCGCGUGUAUGAAGAAGGCCUUCGGGUUGUAAAGUACUUUCAGUUGUGAGGAAGGGGGUAGCGUUAAUAGCGCUAUCUCUUGACGUUAGCAACAGAAGAAGCACCGGCUAACUUCGUGCCAGCAGCCGCGGUAAUACGAGGGGUGCAAGCGUUAAUCGGAAUUACUGGGCGUAAAGCGUUCGUAGGCGGUUGAAUAAGCAAGAUGUGAAAGCCCAGGGCUCAACCUUGGAACUGCAUUUUGAACUGUUCGACUAGAGUACUGUAGAGGGGGGUAGAAUUUCA